UGCAUUUAUUAAAACAUGCAGUGAACAGUACUGUCCCCCAUGUUGUUGGCAGCCAUGAAAGAAGGAAAUCUA
Non-coding RNA from Pangasianodon gigas (Mekong giant catfish), 72 nucleotides. The record is from the annotation of a GenBank genome assembly. Lineage: Eukaryota; Metazoa; Chordata; Actinopteri; Siluriformes; Pangasiidae.